AACGAACGCUGGCGGCAGGCCUAACACAUGCAAGUCGAGCGCCCUUUCGGGGGCGCGGCGGACGGGUGAGUAACGCGUGGGAAUAUGCCCUUCUCUACGGAAUAGCCUCGGGAAACUGAGAGUAAUACCGUAUACGCCCUAUGGGGGAAAGAUUUAUCGGGGAAGGAUUAGCCCGCGUUGGAUUAGGUAGUUGGUGGGGUAAUGGCCUACCAAGCCGACGAUCCAUAGCUGGUUUGAGAGGAUGAUCAGCCACACUGGGACUGAGACACGGCCCAGACUCCUACGGGAGGCAGCAGUGGGGAAUCUUAGACAAUGGGGGCAACCCUGAUCGAGCCAUGCCGCGUGAGUGAUGAAGGCCUUAGGGUUGUAAAGCUCUUUCAGCUGGGAAGAUAAUGACGGUACCAGCAGAAGAAGCCCCGGCUAACUCCGUG
Molecule: ribosomal RNA, 431 nt
Filed under: uncultured bacterium
Lineage: Bacteria
Description: partial 16S ribosomal RNA
Rfam family: Bacterial small subunit ribosomal RNA
Source: RNAcentral